AUGUGAGGCACCCAUGGUAAAGGGUGAUGGAGGAGUUUGGAUUCAUAUGGGGUUGAGUAGAAUUGGUUUGUCCUCUGGUUGAGUUUGUAGCAGCAAACUUGGGGCUGGGGAAAUGGCUUUUUACUUGUGAGCACUUGGGAUGAAACCUUGUCUAGUGUCCCUAGCUAUGCAAGGACUACAUGACCACCAAAUUUCAGCUCAGGGAGAUGAAAGUAGCUAGCACUUGUAAUACAAGGCUAUAUUUCUG
This 247-nucleotide long non-coding RNA is filed under the name Hordeum vulgare. Its description in RNAcentral is "long non-coding RNA (HVUL_LNC003857)". Lineage: Eukaryota; Viridiplantae; Streptophyta; Magnoliopsida; Poales; Poaceae. The record is from RNAcentral.